CCAAGAUGUUCAAAUGUUCAUAAAUGACCAGCAUGGUCGAAUAAUAAUAAGGCAGAACAGUUGAAACUGGAGCAGCAGCACAGUCAGGUGGAAGUUGAAACUGGAGCAGCAGCAUGGCCAGGUGGACUGGGGACAGCAAGGAGUCAUCAUGUCAGGUAGUCCUGGGGCAUGGUCCUAGGGCUCAGGUCAGUUGAAACUGGAACAGCAGCAUGGCCAGGUGGAUUGGGGACAGCAAGGAGUCAUCAUGUCAGGUAGUCCUGGGGCAUGGUCCUAGGGCUCAGGUCCUCCGAGAGAGAGAAAGAAAGAGAAGGAGAGAAUUAGAGAACGCACACUUAGAUUCACACAGGACACCGAAUAGGACAGGAGAAGUACUCCAGAUAUAACAAACUGACCCCAGCCCCCCGACACAAACUACUGCAGCAUAAAUACUGGAGGCUGAGACAGGAGGGGUCAGGAGACACUGUGGCCCCAUCCGAGGACACCCC
Molecule: long non-coding RNA, 485 nt
Organism: Oncorhynchus tshawytscha (Chinook salmon)
Lineage: Eukaryota; Metazoa; Chordata; Actinopteri; Salmoniformes; Salmonidae
Source: Ensembl